ACGGGUGAGUAACGCGUGGGUAAUCUACCUCGGUCUGGGGGAUAACGCACCGAAAGGUACGCUAAUACCGCAUGACCCGGCAGGUUUUCGGACCUGCCGGAAAAGGUGGCCUCUACAUGUAAGCUACCGAACCGAGAUGAGCCCGCGUCCUAUUAGCUUGUUGGUGGGGUAAAGGCCUACCAAGGCGACGAUGGGUAGCUGGUCUGAGAGGACGGCCAGCCACACUGGAACUGGUACACGGUCCAGACUCCUACGGGAGGCAGCAGUGAGGAAUAUUGCGCAAUGGGGGAAACCCUGACGCAGCGAUGCCGCGUGAGUGAAGAAGGCCUUCGGGUCGUAAAGCUCUGUCAAACGGGAAGAACAGUUUGGGGACGAAUAAUCCUCAGGCCUGACGGUACCGUUGAAGGAAGCACCGGCUAACUCCGUGCCAGCAGCCGCGGUAAGACGGAGGGUGCGAGCGUUAUUCGGAUUUAUUGGGCGUAAAGAGCAUGUAGGCGGUCGGCCAAGUCUGAUGUGAAAGCCCGGGGCUUAACCUCGGAAGGGCGUUGGAAACUGGUCGACUUGAGUUCGGGAGAGGAAAGCGGA
This 585-nucleotide ribosomal RNA is filed under the name uncultured bacterium. Its description in RNAcentral is "bacterial SSU rRNA". It matches the Rfam family "Bacterial small subunit ribosomal RNA", at positions 102 to 665 of the family's 1533-position model. The record is from RNAcentral.